This 253-nucleotide ribosomal RNA is filed under the name uncultured bacterium. RNAcentral describes it as "partial 16S ribosomal RNA". It matches the Rfam family "Bacterial small subunit ribosomal RNA", at positions 524 to 776 of the family's 1533-position model. The record is from RNAcentral.
UACAGAGGGGGCAAGCGUUGUUCGGAAUUACUGGGCGUAAAGGGCGCGUAGGCGGCCCGCUAAGUCGAACGUGAAAUCCCCGAGCUCAACUCGGGAACUGCGUCCGAUACUGGUGGGCUUGAAUCCGGGAGAGGGAUGCGGAAUUCCAGGUGUAGCGGUGAAAUGCGUAGAUAUCAGGAGGAACACCAAUGGCGAAGGCAGCUCGCUGGAACGGUACUGACGCUGAGGCGCGAAAGCGUGGGGAGCGAACAGG